This 451-nucleotide ribosomal RNA is filed under the name uncultured bacterium. RNAcentral's name for it is "partial 16S ribosomal RNA". It matches the Rfam family "Bacterial small subunit ribosomal RNA", at positions 29 to 523 of the family's 1533-position model. The record is from RNAcentral.
AACGAACGCUGGCGGCAGGCUUAACACAUGCAAGUCGAACGCCUGUAGCAAUACAGGAGUGGCAGACGGGUGAGUAACACGUGGGAACGUGCCCAAAGGUACGGAACAACUCCGGGAAACUGGAGCUAAUACCGUAUGUGCCCGAAAGGGGAAAGAUUUAUCGCCUUUGGAUCGGCCCGCGUCUGAUUAGCUAGUUGGUGGGGUAAUGGCCUACCAAGGCGACGAUCAGUAGCUGGUCUGAGAGGAUGGCCAGCCACACUGGGACUGAGACACGGCCCAGACUCCUACGGGAGGCAGCAGUGGGGAAUAUUGGACAAUGGGCGCAAGCCUGAUCCAGCCAUGCCGCGUGAGUGAUGAAGGCCUUAGGGUUGUAAAGCUCUUUCGCCAGGGACGAUAAUGACGGUACCUGGAUAAGAAGUCCCGGCUAACUCCGUGCCAGCCGCCGCAGUAA